CUCAAGGGCAGGCCUUCUUCCAUCGGGAGCAGGGCUCAAAGGAGCAGUCCUCCUGGGCACCUUUCCAUUGGGAGUGUUUGGGGCUUUCCUGGGGCAGCGUCCUCCAUUCUUCUGGCAUGCCCUCCAUUCUGGGCAUGAUUAAGAAGCAGCCCAGAAGGUCUACCUUUGUCUGGCUCAAGGCUGCUAUGGCAUUCUGGGAGUUGGAGUUUGUUGUGGGCCCGGAGCGGAGCGGAGGAAAAAAUGGAGGACAGUCCGGAAAAUGGGUCCCGUGCCCCUGACCCCAGCGAACAUUGGUGUGUGUAUGUGUGCUGUAAAUAAACCAUGCUUACAGAGUGGCCAGGAAGACAUUGGCUGAACCUUCUGCCUCUGAUUGCAGCAGAUAAAUAUCUUCAUUAAACAAAGAGUGGUGACCACAGCUCAGAAAAGGGAAGAAGAUUCAGGCAGAUAGCUAUCAGCUAAAGCUUGCAGGCACCAACCUCCACAAUUCUAUCAUUUCUCUGCUCCAUGUUUCCCUGUUCAUGGAGGUAGAAGACCAGUAAACUACUAUCAGAUGAACAAACAGCCAGAGGGGAAUGCUGGUUUGUUUGGAUGCCAUGAAGUGUUGCUGCUUCUUUUGAUGUUGAAUAAAAUCCUGUCUCCCACCUGACUGCAAUUCUCCACCUCUGUGCUGGGGCUGAAUCCUGGGCUAUUGCAUGUGGAGGAAUGGACUUCAUGAGUCAGUGGACUAUUACAUGCAAAACACUAUGGAGAGAACUGUCAUAUCAUCUCACAGCCUCUCAAAUGCAGUGGUUUUUAAUGACACCUCUUCCCACCUUCAUCUGCUGGUUAUCGAAUGUACAGUCAACAAGUACAGAGAAACUCAGUUGUGCAAAUGAAUGUGUUGGCUGAGCUGAGCUGACAAACAAGUGGGUCUCUGAAAAUUCUUGGCCUUGAUUUGACACUAGGUGAUAGAAACUUUCUGCUUGUGGUGACUAAUUUGUGGAUAAAAGUUACCAUCCAACACUACAACUAAUGAGUUCUAAAUAUGUAUGAAGAAGAUAAGGAAUGCUUAUUAUUUAUCCUUGUCCUUAUUGACAAUGUGAACUAAAACUUAAACUCUUAACUAGAAAAAAAAAAAUUAGUAGCCUUGAUUCUUAUCAGCUGAAGUUUAUCCAAUAAAAAAAUUACUCUGUGUUCCAGGAAAUUAAACCAGAUGGAAGAAACUCCAGCCCCAGAACAAAACUGGAGAAUUUGCUUGUCAUUGUGCAUUUCCUUAUGCAGCUGAGAGGCUACUUGCAAGACAGGGCAUCUUCACGUUGUAAUGAAUAUAUGAGUAAUUUGCUGUUUGACUCUUUGCAGAUACAACAAACUAUUAGAACUCAAGCAGAUAGGUUGACAUUUAUUGCAGUGACAGAAUCCUAGACAGGAACCUGUCAACCAAUGAGCUUAAGACAUCAGUUUAACUCUGGCAUCUUUAUAAAGUCAAUAACAGCCACAUCAAAGGGCGAUCAUGUCCAACGUGGGCGUCUGCCAAUUGUGUUUUGGACUGCUGCAAUAAGCUAGCCAAUCUAUGGGAUUAGUUUGCUAGGAUGCUUUUUUGACACCCACAUUUCUUCUUAAUUGUCUCCAUGAAGCUGUGGUAGUUAAUGCCAGAUUUAUAGCGCUUCAUAGAUGUCAAAAUGCCCACACACCUUAUGCAAUCUUUGGGUUCCCAGACCUCUUUCACGUUCCCCUUAGCUGGUCCAUCUAAUUAUCCAUUAUCAUGCCUGUAUAUCAUACAUUAUUCAUGAACUUCAAGGUGUAAACAGCUCCUGAUUGAAAAGACAAAAAGACAUCUAAUUACCAUUACAUGUGUGUCUCCCCUCCCCCUUGCAAAUAAAUAAAUAAAUAAAUAAAGUACACCAGCCUUUGGA
Molecule: long non-coding RNA, 1892 nt
Organism: Sceloporus undulatus (fence lizard)
Lineage: Eukaryota; Metazoa; Chordata; Lepidosauria; Squamata; Phrynosomatidae
Exons: 3
Source: RefSeq, a predicted model, not a curated record